AACGCGAAGAACCUUACCUGGGCUCGAAAUGUACAGGAAUCCGGUAGAAAUAUCGGCGUCCCGCAAGGGACCUGUAUAUAGGUGCUGCAUGGCUGUCGUCAGCUCGUGUCGUGAGAUGUUGGGUUAAGUCCCGCAACGAGCGCAACCCUUACCUCUAGUUGCUACCAUUUAGUUGAGCACUCUAGCGGAACCGCCUCGGAUAACGGGGAGGAAGGCGGGGAUGACGUCAAGUCCUCAUGGCCUUUAUGUCCAGGGCUACACACGUGCUACAAUGGCCGGUACAAACCGCUGCAAACCCGUGAGGGGGAGCUAAUCGGAAAAAGCCGGCCUCAGUUCGGAUUGGAGUCUGCAACUCGACUCCAUGAAGCUGGAAUCGCUAGUAAUCGUGGAUCAGCAUGCCACGGUGAAUACGUUCCCGGGCCUUGUACACACCGUAGUAC
This 440-nucleotide ribosomal RNA is filed under the name uncultured bacterium. RNAcentral describes it as "bacterial SSU rRNA". It matches the Rfam family "Bacterial small subunit ribosomal RNA", at positions 958 to 1398 of the family's 1533-position model. The record is from RNAcentral.